GAGGCCCGGUGGACCUCGGGGUGCCGUGUCGGCCGGGGAAGCCGCCCUCCGCCUGGGAGGCUGGGGUCCGAGGGAAAGGGGGCGUGGCUGUGGGUGGGGUCGGAAAGCCCCUGCACGGGUGAGAGGCUGGAGGACUCGGCCUCAGGCUGCCCUCCCGUCCGGCGGGCCAGGUCGCACCGGCCGCUGGCUUCCGUUUUCCUGGAAUCGGACGCGUGCAGGUCAGCAGUGAGCGUCCCCGAGUGAAGGUGGCCGCUCACCGCACGGUGCCACGCACUCCGAGCGAGUGCUUCAUCCCAUCAGGGCUUCCCGUCACUUUUUAUUUCGUUGCUUCCUGUUUCCUUCUCCUUCACUGGAACUCUUGGUUGGUCAUGAGAGCUUGGUCUUCCUAGGACUUGGAUAAUUUAACUUCCCGAUGAACAGUUGGUUCCUUAGUUAUGGAAUCUAAUACCUUGAACCGCGUAAACUGCAUGCAAGAAAGAGUUGCUUGUAAUGGAACCUCAAAGUAAAGGGCAUAAGUUUAUGAACAGAUUAUCGAAAUCUGAUGUUAUUGAAGAUGUAUGUCCAAAGUGCCUUAAACAGAAAGGAGGA
This is a long non-coding RNA of Myotis brandtii (Brandt's bat), 588 nucleotides long. RefSeq lists it as uncharacterized. NCBI's taxonomy places the organism in Eukaryota, Metazoa, Chordata, Mammalia, Chiroptera, Vespertilionidae. The record is from RefSeq and is a predicted model, not a curated record. The transcript has 2 exons.